CAAGCAUCACCCUAUGCUGAUCAAAGAACAGCAGGAUAUGCUAUUCGUACAGUAGGUUUGCAACGAGCAGAAGUUAUGGUAAAGGGCGCUGGUAGUGGAAGAGAUGCCACAUUACGAGCCAUUGCUAAAAGUGGUGUGGGAUUAAGUUGUAUACGUGAUGUAACACCUAUGCCACAUAAUGGAUGUCAACCACCUAAAAAAAGAAGAAUUAACCCGCUUUCAACUUUCAGGAUAAAUAAACAAUUCAAUGAUAAAACAAUAAUACUACUCUAUUAUGGUUUGAGAGGAGGCAGCAGGAUUCACUCAAACACUACAGUGGAAGUCUGUUGA
RNAcentral lists this ribosomal RNA (330 nucleotides) under Triticum aestivum (bread wheat). RNAcentral describes it as "partial small subunit ribosomal RNA". Lineage: Eukaryota; Viridiplantae; Streptophyta; Magnoliopsida; Poales; Poaceae. The record is from RNAcentral.